UACGUAGGGUGCGAGCGUUGUCCGGAAUUACUGGGCGUAAAGAGCGUGUAGGCGGCCUGAAAGGUCAGCUGUGAAAACUCGAGGCUCAACCUCGAGACGUCGGUUGAAACCAUCUGGCUAGAGUCCGGAAGAGGAGUGUGGAAUUCCCGGUGUAGCGGUGAAAUGCGCAGAUAUCGGGAAGAACACCCGUGGCGAAGGCGGCACUCUGGGACGGUACUGACGCUGAGACGCGAAAGCGUGGGGAGCGAACAGG
This 253-nucleotide ribosomal RNA is filed under the name uncultured bacterium. RNAcentral's name for it is "partial 16S ribosomal RNA". It matches the Rfam family "Bacterial small subunit ribosomal RNA", at positions 524 to 776 of the family's 1533-position model. The record is from RNAcentral.